UGCUCCUCAACCAUAACUAGCUGAAAUAACUCUAAUCACCUAUUUUUACUGUUUGAGUUAGGGAGGGUUCACAGGACUCAUUUUGCCAGAAGAGCUGAAAUGCUUGCAGGAAGGGAAAAGGGAAAGGGAUACAAAUUCAGAGCUGCAAAAUAGCAGCUGAACACGAUAAUAUCAUCAGCUGGCAGAGGUGGCUGCACACUGAGCAUCUGUCUAUAUCCUAAAAUUACUGUUUUGUUCAGGGAUUUGUUUGCUUGUUGGUUGGAGUUUUGGUUUGUUAUACUGCAGGAUCACUCCUAACUGCUAAAACAAUUAAGAAAGAAACUUCAGAAAAAGAACACUAAGUGCUAUGGUUUUUAAUUCCCUACUGGGUUUUGGGAAGAAGUAGUUUGUGGCAAACAAGGAAGACAAACCUGGAUCUUUUGCUGCAUCCUUCCUCCUGUUUAAGAAGAUUUGUGAUUCUACGUCUAAAUCCAACAACUUUCCAUGUGGCCCUGCUUGUGUCUACAGAAAUGCCAGAAUCUGCUGCUGCAGACAUGCUGAAAGCAAGCUGAAAGCACCAUGAGCAGAAGAAGGUAUGGGAGGAAAUCCAUCAGAGGAAACAGUUGUUGGAAGAAAGCAAAAGCAGAGAUAAUGCCUCUUGCUCACUGCAGCCAGAGUGUCUGGAGAAGGGAGGUCUAAGAGGCUCUGCUCCAUUUCCUUGUAUGGUUCAGUGACACAGCUCUGCCAGAGCCCAGGAGCCCAGGCUAGUUCAGGGGAGCACACAGCACCAGCAGCCACGCCAGUUCUCUUCACCAGAAGCAGAACCUUUUGGGCCCUGUGCUCAGCCGUCAGGAUCGUCUACCACUGUCAAAGAGCGGGUUCCCCCACAAAGCAGGACUGUGCCUCACCUGGAGCUCUGUUGGAUUGCUGUGCAGCUGCUCAAAGAGCAGAACCAAGGCAUGUUCUCAGCUUGCUCUUCCUGCCUUGUGACUUUAAAGCACAGAACACUACCUUACCCCCAACAGCCCUGUCUAACCUGACUCC
Molecule: long non-coding RNA, 1023 nt
Organism: Poecile atricapillus (Black-capped chickadee)
Lineage: Eukaryota; Metazoa; Chordata; Aves; Passeriformes; Paridae
Exons: 5
Source: RefSeq, a predicted model, not a curated record